GCUUAACACAUGCAAGUCGAACGAUGAAGUGGAGCUUGCUCCACGGAUUAGUGGCGAACGGGUGAGGAACACGUGAGAAACCUGCCUCGGAUUUUGGGAUAACAAAUGGAAACGUUUGCUAGUACCAAAUAACGUCGGAGAGUCACAUGACUUUCUGACGAAAGGAAUUCCGAUUCGAGAGGGUCUCGCGGCCUAUCAGCUUGUUGGCGGGGUAAUGGCCCACCAAGGCAACGACGGGUAGCUGGUCUGAGAGGAUGGUCAGCCACACUGGGACUGAGACACGGCCCAGACUCCUACGGGAGGCAGCAGUGGGGAAUCUUGCGCAAUGGGCGAAAGCCUGACGCAGCAACGCCGCGUGCGGGAAGAAGGCUUUCGGGCUGUAAACCGCUUUCAGCAGGAACGAAAAUGACGGUACCUGCAGAAGAAGGAGCGGCCAACUAUGUGCCAGCAGCCGCGGUGAUACAUAGGCUUCAAGCGUUGUCCGGAUUUAUUGGGCGUAAAGAGUUCGUAGGCGGUCGAGUAAGUCGGGUGUGAAAAUUCUGGGCUCAACCCAGAGACGCCACCCGAUACUGCUUAACUUGAGUUCGAUAGGGGAGUGGGGAAUUCCUAGUGUAGCGGUGAAAUGCGCAGAUAUUAGGAGGAACACCGGUGGCGAAGGCGCCACUCUGGAUCGACACUGACGCUGAGGAACGAAAGCAUGGGUAGCAAACAGGAUUAGAUACCCUGGUAGUCCAUGCGGUAAACGGUGGGCACUAGGUGUGGGUUUCUAUUAACGAAAUCCGCGCCGUCGCUAACGCA
This 798-nucleotide ribosomal RNA is filed under the name uncultured actinomycete. RNAcentral's name for it is "bacterial SSU rRNA". It matches the Rfam family "Bacterial small subunit ribosomal RNA", at positions 46 to 859 of the family's 1533-position model. Lineage: Bacteria; Bacillati; Actinomycetota; Actinomycetes; Actinomycetales. The record is from RNAcentral.